Molecule: ribosomal RNA, 1224 nt
Filed under: uncultured Psychrobacter sp.
Lineage: Bacteria; Pseudomonadati; Pseudomonadota; Gammaproteobacteria; Moraxellales; Moraxellaceae
Description: bacterial SSU rRNA
Rfam family: Bacterial small subunit ribosomal RNA
Source: RNAcentral
AAACUCGUAUUAAUACCGCAUACGACCUACGGGAGAAAGGGGGCAGUUUACUGCUCUCGCUAUUAGAUGAGCCUAAGUCGGAUUAGCUAGAUGGUGGGGUAAAGGCCUACCAUGGCGACGAUCUGUAGCUGGUCUGAGAGGAUGAUCAGCCACACCGGGACUGAGACACGGCCCGGACUCCUACGGGAGGCAGCAGUGGGGAAUAUUGGACAAUGGGGGAAACCCUGAUCCAGCCAUGCCGCGUGUGUGAAGAAGGCCUUUUGGUUGUAAAGCACUUUAAGCAGUGAAGAAGACUCCAUGGUUAAUACCCAUGGACGAUGACAUUAGCUGCAGAAUAAGCACCGGCUAACUCUGUGCCAGCAGCCGCGGUAAUACAGAGGGUGCAAGCGUUAAUCGGAAUUACUGGGCGUAAAGGGAGCGUAGGUGGCUCUAUAAGUCAGAUGUGAAAUCCCCAGGCUUAACCUGGGAACUGCAUCUGAAACUGUAGAGCUAGAGUAUGUGAGAGGAAGGUAGAAUUCCAGGUGUAGCGGUGAAAUGCGUAGAGAUCUNGNGAGGNANAUNACNCGAUGGCGAAGGCAGCCUUCUGGCAUAAUACUGACACUGAGGCUCGAAAGCGUGGGUAGCAAACAGGAUUAGAUACCCUGGUAGUCCACGCCGUAAACGAUGUCUACUAGUCGUUGGGUCCCUUGAGGACUUAGUGACGCAGCUAACGCAAUAAGUAGACCGCCUGGGGAGUACGGCCGCAANGGUUAAAACUCAAAUGAAUUGACGGGGGCCCGCACAAGCGGUGGAGCAUGUGGUUUAAUUCGAUGCAACGCGAAGAACCUUACCUGGUCUUGACAUAUCUAGAAUCCUGCAGAGAUGCGGGAGUGCCUUCGGGAAUUAGAAUACAGGUGCUGCAUGGCUGUCGUCAGCUCGUGUCGUGAGAUGUUGGGUUAAGUCCCGCAACGAGCGCAACCCUUGUCCUUAGUUACCAGCGGGUUAAGCCGGGAACUCUAAGGAUACUGCCAGUGACAAACUGGAGGAAGGCGGGGACGACGUCAAGUCAUCAUGGCCCUUACGACCAGGGCUACACACGUGCUACAAUGGUAGGUACAGAGGGCAGCUACGCAGCGAUGUGAUGCGAAUCUCAAAAAGCCUAUCGUAGUCCAGAUUGGAGUCUGCAACUCGACUCCAUGAAGUAGGAAUCGCUAGUAAUCGCGGAUCAGAAUGCCGCGGUGAAUA